This is an RNA transcript of Manihot esculenta (cassava), 1575 nucleotides long. It is a transcript of the gene named protein VTE6, chloroplastic, with no coding region annotated. NCBI's taxonomy places the organism in Eukaryota, Viridiplantae, Streptophyta, Magnoliopsida, Malpighiales, Euphorbiaceae. The record is from RefSeq and is a predicted model, not a curated record. The transcript has 7 exons.
GCAUAGAGCAGUUAAUUUAUUUAUUUCACGGAACUCCAACAGCCCACUUGUAAUGAAGUAUCAAAUUCCGGCGGCAGCCAGCAGGAGCACGCGAAAAAACAGCUUAAAAAUGGCAUUGUCAGCUCUUCUCUGCGUUAAUUCCACUUCCUUCCCUCCUCUCCACUUCCCCAAAUCCCCAGUUCGACUUAAGAAAUCCCCAGCUCCUUCUUCCCCUCGUCUUAGCUUUCCCAAAAUCCUGCCUUUGCCUCUGAGGCCGCAAGCAUUCUCCAUUCAGGGACCUCUAUCGGAGGCGAUGAACUUGAUCCAAUCAUCGCCCCCCACAUGGCGAUCUGCUUUCUUUAACAACUUGUUGAUAUUCAUUCUGGGGUCUCCUAUUCUGGCCUCUGGGCUUUCUUUCUCUGGCAUCUGCGCUGCGUUUCUUUUGGGUACUCUCACUUGGCGAGCUUUUGGGCCUUCUGGGUUCCUCCUCGUUGCUUCUUAUUUCGUUAUAGGCACUGCAGCUACAAAGGUGAAAAUGGCGCAAAAGGAAGCGCAGGGAGUGGCUGAGAAGAGGAAAGGAAGAAGGGGGCCUGGCAGUGUGAUUGGUUCCAGUGCAGCUGGUUGUGUUUGCGCUUUGUUGUUGAUAAAUAAAAUCGGGGGAGAGGCAUUUUCUCGGCUUUGGGAACUUGGAUUUGUAGCCAGUUUCUGUACUAAGUUGAGUGAUACUGUCUCAAGUGAGAUAGGGAAGGCAUAUGGGAAAAUUACUUAUCUUGUUACAACAUUUAAGGUAGUCCCAAGGGGAACAGAAGGGGCUGUAAGUGUUGAGGGAACAUUAGCUGGAUUGUUGGCAUCAGUUCUUCUUGCCUCUAUUGGUUGUUUCAUGGGUGAGAUACGUGCUGCAGAAGCUGUUAUAUGCGUGAUAGCUUCCCAGAUUGCUAAUUUUGGUGAGAGCAUAAUAGGUGCUUUGUUCCAAGAGAAGGAAGGGUUUCAAUGGCUUAACAAUGAUGUUGUCAAUGUCCUUAACAUAUCUAUGGGCAGCAUUUUAGCAGUCCUGAUGCGGCAAGUUAUGCUCCAGAACUUGCACUGAUUGUCAGAGAUACAUGGACAUCAUUCCUGAUGUUGAUCCAAGAUUUCAGUUUUCUCCCCGUUCAGUUAACAACCAAAGGGGCUUCUGAGCGUUCAUCCUUCAAGCUGAAGUUAACUACAUAUUGAAGCGCAAGGAGCCUCCACUAAACAAAGAUCUAGGCAUAUUGGACGCAAAGGAGUCAAAACCUGAUAAGCUAUCCAAGCCAAAACCAUUGUUGAUGUCUCAAGGAGGGAGCCAAGCAGCGCUCCUUUGAAGGUCAGCCAUUUAAGUGGAAGAAUGUUAAAGACCUCGGAGAUGCUCUAGCUUAGGCAUAAAUCUUGUCUCUCCAAAACGAAAACACUAGAUCUAAGACGUCUAAGACAAUGGAGAACUUGCAAAAACAACAUGUAGAACUAAAACAACACUCAACACCACAAGAAAAGAAAGAAAUUUCUAAAAUUUCUAAACACAAGAAGAAAGGCAUUUUCUUAUUUAGAAGGGUAGAGAAAGGUCGGACGAAGAUUUGAAUU